Molecule: ribosomal RNA, 657 nt
Filed under: Staphylococcus aureus
Lineage: Bacteria; Bacillati; Bacillota; Bacilli; Caryophanales; Staphylococcaceae
Description: bacterial SSU rRNA
Rfam family: Bacterial small subunit ribosomal RNA
Source: RNAcentral
CGGAGAUGGGGAUCAAACAGGAUUAGAUACCCUGGUAGUCCACGCCGUAAACGAUGAGUGCUAAGUGUUAGGGGGUUUCCGCCCCUUAGUGCUGCAGCUAACGCAUUAAGCACUCCGCCUGGGGAGUACGACCGCAAGGUUGAAACUCAAAGGCGGUUGAGAGAUUUGAAUUGACGGGGACCCGCACAAGCGGUGGAGCAUGUGGUUUAAUUCGAAGCAACGCGAAGAACCUUACCAAAUCUUGACAUCCUUUGACAACUCUAGAGAUAGAGCCUUCCCCUUCGGGGGACAAAGUGACAGGUGGUGCAUGGUUGUCGUCAGCUCGUGUCGUGAGAUGUUGGGUUAAGUCCCGCAACGAGCGCAACCCUUAAGCUUAGUUGCCAUCAUUAAGUUGGGCACUCUAAGUUGACUGCCGGUGACAAACCGGAGGAAGGUGGGGAUGACGUCAAAUCAUCAUGCCCCUUAUGAUUUGGGCUACACACGUGCUACAAUGGACAAUACAAAGGGCAGCGAAACCGCGAGGUCAAGCAAGAUUAUCCCAUAAAGUUGUUCUCAGUUCGGAUUGUAGUCUGCAACUCGACUACAUGAAGCUGGAAUCGCUAGUAAUCGUAGAUCAGCAUGCUACGGUGAAUACGUUCCCGGGUCUUGAUUAAGGUA